This 563-nucleotide small RNA is filed under the name Pongo abelii (Sumatran orangutan). Its description in RNAcentral is "retained intron". Lineage: Eukaryota; Metazoa; Chordata; Mammalia; Primates; Hominidae. The record is from RNAcentral.
GAUGAAAUACACCAGCGAGGGGGUGCGAUACUUUGUGGACCACAAUACCCGCACCACCACCUUUAAGGAUCCUCGCCCGGGGUUUGAGUCGGGGACGAAGCAAGGUUCCCCUGGUGCUUAUGACCGCAGUUUUCGGUGGAAGUAUCACCAGUUCCGUUUCCUCUGCCAUUCAAAUGCCCUACCUAGCCACGUGAAGAUCAGCGUUUCCAGGCAGACGCUUUUCGAAGAUUCCUUCCAACAGGUUAGAUCAUGGUGCCCGAAACCAGUGGCAGGCCGACGCCCUCCUCCCAGCACCCCAUUUCCAAUCGCGUGGCCUGUUAAACCCACACUGCAGACUUUCCAGGGCAUGGGUCUUGGUGACUGUGUCUGCUGGAUAUUAGGCCUUAGAGUCCCCUGUCCCUCCCGCCCCUGCCUGUUGUGGAAGGGAGAGUGGCAGGCCGGCCCGAUGCUCUGUCUUCCCAGAUCAUGAACAUGAAACCCUAUGACCUGCGCCGCCGGCUCUACAUCAUCAUGCGUGGCGAGGAGGGCCUGGACUAUGGGGGCAUCGCCAGAGAGUGGUUUUU